AUUGAACGCUGGCGGCAUGCCUUACACAUGCAAGUCGAACGGCAGCGCGGACUUCGGUCUGGCGGCGAGUGGCGAACGGGUGAGUAAUACAUCGGAACGUACCCUGUUGUGGGGGAUAACUAGUCGAAAGAUUAGCUAAUACCGCAUACGACCUGAGGGUGAAAGUGGGGGACCGCAAGGCCUCACGCAGCAGGAGCGGCCGAUGUCUGAUUAGCUAGUUGGUGGGGUAAAGGCCCACCAAGGCGACGAUCAGUAGCUGGUCUGAGAGGACGAUCAGCAACACUGGGACUGAGACACGGGCCAGAUUCCUACGGGAGGCAGCAGUGGGGAAUUUUGGACAAUGGGGGCAACCCUGAUCCAGCAAUGCCGCGUGUGUGAAGAAGGCCUUCGGGUUGUAAAGCACUUUUGUCCGGAAAGAAAUCGCGCUGGUUAAUACCUGGCGUGGAUGACGGUACCGGAAGAAUAAGCACCGGCUAACUACGUGCCAGCAGCCGCAGUAA
Molecule: ribosomal RNA, 500 nt
Filed under: uncultured bacterium
Lineage: Bacteria
Description: partial 16S ribosomal RNA
Rfam family: Bacterial small subunit ribosomal RNA
Source: RNAcentral